Molecule: ribosomal RNA, 402 nt
Filed under: uncultured bacterium
Lineage: Bacteria
Description: bacterial SSU rRNA
Rfam family: Bacterial small subunit ribosomal RNA
Source: RNAcentral
UGGGGAAUAUUGGACAAUGGGGGAAACCCUGAUCCAGCAAUGCCGCGUGAGUGAAGAAGGCCUUAGGGUUGUAAAGCUCUUUCGCCCGCGAAGAUAAUGACGGUAGCGGGAGAAGAAGCCCCGGCUAACUCCGUGCCAGCAGCCGCGGUAAUACGGAGGGGGCUAGCGUUGUUCGGAAUUACUGGGCGUAAAGCGUACGUAGGCGGAUGCGCAAGUUGGGGGUGAAAUCCCGGGGCUUAACCUCGGAAUUGCCCUCAAAACUGCACGUCUUGAGACCGAGAGAGGUAAGGGGAAUGCCUAGUGUAGAGGUGAAAUUCGUAGAUAUUAGGAAGAACACCAGUGGCGAAGGCGCCUUACUGGCUCGGUACUGACGCUGAGGUACGAAAGCGUGGGGAGCAAACA